GGGGGUACUGUUAGGUUGGGGUUCUUUUUCCUGUUUUAUUUUGUUUUCUUUUCCUCUUCUGUCCUGGGUUUUUUCUGGGAAGCUGCGUUUCCUUUAACAGCCAUCAGAUGUCACCAGUGAGCGGAGCCCCUGGAGAAGUGUGGCGGCCAACCUGUAGACGCACCUGUGUCUAAUUUUCAAGCGCUGCGGAGGUGCUUCAUAAGGACAGCCUAGCUGACACUCCAGUGCCUGAGUGUUUGCCUUCACUGAUUUCCUUGUGAUCGCCCUGUGACUCCUGGAUGUGGACAAGCGCUCCCCCCUGGAUUUCCUUGUGUUCCUCACGACGCCAUUGGUAUUACCAAUCGGUUGCCUUCCUCCGUGCACUUACCUCCCUGGUCCCUCCCCGUGGAUCCUCUGUGCCUCGCCACCGACUGAGCCUGCCAGCGUUUCAUGUUCCGGGAGCUAACUGUCGAAGCCCCGCUCGGAAGUCAGCCCACUCUGCUCUCCAGCUGCAAGGCUUACCUGCUCGCUCUCCGACGGUAACUCACUUCUCCAGCCGCCACCAUUGACAAUACUAACCUCCGCAUUCAAGUAAGCGUCCUACGAAAGAUUCUCAGAAUUAUUCCAUUUGACCCAUCCCGUGUCUCACUCCGCUUUUUCUCAUAUACAGUCUGAUGACCAGUUUCCUCCAGUCCCAGGUUCCAGAACUAUUUCCCCUGACCCCUCUUCCUUUCACCAAAAUAAAUAUUAUUGUUGUUUCA
Xiphophorus couchianus (Monterrey platyfish) is the source of this 740-nucleotide long non-coding RNA. RefSeq lists it as uncharacterized. NCBI's taxonomy places the organism in Eukaryota, Metazoa, Chordata, Actinopteri, Cyprinodontiformes, Poeciliidae. The record is from RefSeq and is a predicted model, not a curated record. The transcript is spliced from 2 exons.